CCGGGUCCUGGGGCCUAGCGGAGCCGGAGGAGGAAGUCCCGAGUGGGAGGCCAAAGGAAAGCCCUAAGGGAACAAGUGCAGAACAGGAUAAUCGGUUCAGCAACAAACAGAAGAAACUACUGAAGCAGCUGAAAUUUGCAGAAUGCCUAGAAAAAAAGGUGGACAUGAGCAAAGUAAAUUUGGAGGUUAUAAAGCCUUGGAUAACAAAAAGAGUAACGGAAAUCCUUGGGUUUGAAGAUGAUGUUGUGAUUGAGUUUAUAUUCAACCAGCUGGAAGUGAAGGCCUGAACCAAAAUGGAAGUUAUUCCUUGCGUCUGAAGUAUAGCACCAUCACCUUAUUAGGUCACAGCAGAGUGAGUGUCCCAAUGUCGCUCUGACCCAACUCCCUUGAUGAUGCAGUGUGUGUUUGGAGAAUCCAGACUCCAAAAUGAUGCAAAUCAACCUGACUGGAUUUUUGAAUGGAAAAAAUGCUCGAGAAUUUAUGGGAGAACUGUGGCCCCUGCUGCUAAGUGCACAAGAAAACAUCGCGGGAAUCCCUUCUGCUUUCCUAGAACUGAAGAAAGAAGAAAUAAAACAAAGACAGAUUGAACAAGAAAAACUGGCAUCUAUGAAAAAGCAAGAUGAAGACAAAGAUAAAAGAGAUAAGGAAGAAAAAGAAAGCAGCAGAGAAAAAAGGGAGCGGUCUCGUAGCCCAAGAAGACGCAAAUCCAGAUCUCCUUCCCCUAGAAGACGAUCUUCCCCUGUCAGGAGAGAGAGAAAGCGCAGUCAUUCUCGAUCUCCCCGUCACAGAACCAAGAGCCGGAGUCCUUCCCCUGCUCCAGAAAAGAAGGAAAAAACUCCAGAGCUCCCAGAACCUUCAGUGAAAGUAAAAGAACCUUCAGUACAAGAGGCUACUUCUACUAGUGACAUUCUGAAAGUUCCCAAACCUGAACCUAUACCAGAGCCUAAAGAACCUUCUCCGGAAAAAAAUUCCAAAAAAGAAAAGGAGAAGGAGAAGACCCGACCACGAUCUCGGUCACGCUCCAAAUCAAGAUCCCGGACGCGGUCCCGCUCUCCUUCUCACACUCGACCUAGACGGCGCCAUAGAUCCCGAUCAAGAUCGUAUUCACCUAGAAGGCGGCCAAGCCCAAGAAGGCGGCCAUCUCCUCGAAGAAGAACUCCGCCAAGAAGAAUGCCUCCUCCACCAAGGCACAGAAGGAGUAGAUCUCCAGUAAGACGAAGAAGACGUUCGUCAGCAUCCUUGUCUGGGAGUAGCUCAUCAUCCUCUUCAUCUCGUUCACGGUCACCACCAAAGAAGCCUCCCAAGAGGACAUCCAGCCCCCCUCGGAAAACUCGUAGGUUAUCUCCUUCAGCAAGUCCUCCAAGGCGAAGGCACAGGCCAUCACCUCCUGCAACUCCACCACCCAAAACUCGGCAUUCCCCUACACCCCAGCAGUCAAACCGUACAAGAAAAAGUCGUGUUUCUGUGUCUCCAGGGAGAACUUCAGUGACAAAACAUAAAGGUACUGAGAAAAGAGAAUCCCCUUCACCAGCACCGAAGCCUAGAAAAGUAGAGUUAUCUGAAUCGGAAGAUAAAGGUGGCAAAAUGGCUGCAGCAGAUUCUGUGCAGCAGAGACGCCAAUACAGACGACAAAACCAGCAGUCUUCAUCUGACUCUGGCUCCUCCUCCUCCUCAGAAGAUGAACGACCCAAGAGAUCCCAUGUGAAGAAUGGUGAGGUUGGCAGGCGGCGGAGACAUUCCCCUUCCCGGAGUGCUUCUCCAUCACCACGAAAGCGCCAAAAAGAGACUUCCCCUCGGAUGCAGAUGGGAAAGCGAUGGCAAUCGCCAGUGACUAAAAGUGGUAGACGGAGGAGAAGUCCAUCCCCACCACCCACCAGAAGGCGACGGUCUCCUUCUCCCGCCCCUCCUCCUCGACGGCGCAGGACUCCCACACCACCACCACGACGAAGGACUCCUUCUCCUCCCCCACGUCGGCGCUCACCUUCUCCUAGAAGAUACUCUCCUCCAAUACAGAGGAGAUACUCUCCUUCUCCACCUCCAAAGAGAAGAACGGCUUCACCUCCUCCCCCUCCUAAACGAAGAGCAUCACCAUCUCCACCACCAAAGCGGCGGGUCUCCCAUUCUCCACCUCCCAAACAAAGAAGCUCCCCAGUCACCAAGAGACGUUCACCUUCAUUAUCAUCCAAGCAUAGGAAAGGGUCUUCCCCAAGCCGCUCUACCAGGGAGGCCCGAUCACCACAACCAAACAAACGGCAUUCGCCCUCACCACGGCCUCGAGCUCCUCAGACCUCCUCAAGUCCUCCACCCGUUCGAAGAGGAGCGUCGUCAUCACCCCAAAGAAGGCAGUCCCCGUCUCCAAGUACUAGGCCCAUUAGGAGAGUCUCCAGGACUCCGGAACCUAAAAAGAUAAAAAAGGCUGCUUCCCCAAGCCCACAGUCUGUAAGGAGGGUCUCAUCCUCCCGAUCUGUCUCCGGGUCUCCUGAGCCAGCAGCUAAAAAGCCCCCAGCACCUCCAUCCCCCGUCCAGUCUCAGUCACCGUCUACAAACUGGUCACCAGCUGUACCGGUCAAAAAGGCCAAAAGCCCAACACCGAGCCCAUCACCGCCAAGAAAUUCAGAUCAGGAGGGAGGUGGAAAGAAAAAGAAGAAAAAGAAGGACAAGAAACACAAAAAGGAUAAGAAGCACAAGAAGCACAAAAAACACAAGAAGGAAAAGGCUGUGGCUGCAGCUGCUGCAGCUGCUGUGACCCCUGCAGCCAUUGCAGCUGCCACAACCACAUUAGCACAGGAAGAGCCAGUGGCAGCGCCAGAGCCGAAGAAGGAGACUGAAAGUGAAGCUGAAGAUAACCUUGAUGAUUUAGAAAAGCACCUGCGUGAAAAGGCCCUGAGAUCAAUGAGGAAGGCCCAAGUGUCCCCACAGUCUUAGGGGGAAAUGUUUGUUAUGAUGUAAAUUUUAUUUGGUUUGUACGCAGUUCAAUUUCAAAAUUGCUAAAAUGUGUUUGAGCUUUAGACUAUAACAUUUGUUGUAAUAAUUGCUAGGUUGAAGUUCAACAUGUAAAAAAAGGGGGCAUGGAUUUACAUUGCAAAAGGUGUCCACAGUGUAUUAGUGACAUUCUUUCAUUGACAGCUGACAUAAUUCAUUGAGUGAAAUAUUUUAAGCCAAAAAAAAUUCCCUUUUUAAAAAAGGGGGUUUAAAUACUGUUGGCAUUUUUAUGGUUCCUUUAAAUGCCCUGGCUAUUCCCAGAGGGGUUUUUUGUUUGUUUUUUUGGUUUUGAUUUUGUUUUUGUUUUUCUUUCUUCUUAUUUUUUUCAUUUGAGUCUUAGCUCCCAUUUAAGUUAUGCUUCUGACCUUGUAUGGUCUGUAAGCUUGCCCAGAAAUAAGACCACUGUUUUGAACUACCACAAAAGUAUAAAUGAAUAUUUUAAUGCCACAAUCUUUCCUGUUGCCUGUGGAGUCUCUGCUGAAAUGAAUCAGGAUUCGAGCUCUAGGAUGAGACAGAAAAUGAAAGCAUGUUGUUUGCCAGGACACUGUGGGUUUAUAUUGAUGUGUAACAAGUUGAUUUGGAACACUGGACUCUCAUUCUGUUCUUCUGGUUUUGUUUUUUUUGUUUUGUUUUUUUCUUUUGUAAAGGCAAUGAGCUAGUCCCAGAAAGGAUCCUUCAGUUACAUACAAUUUGUUUAAUGAAAUGUCAUGGCUCUGUUCAUAUUUUUGUCUUGUUCUUCCAAUUGGUACAUACAACUUUCAGAGCCUCUUGUAUUUGGAAGGCUGGAAGGGCGCAG
RNAcentral lists this long non-coding RNA (3778 nucleotides) under Pan troglodytes (chimpanzee). RNAcentral's name for it is "long non-coding RNA NONPTRT000129". The record is from RNAcentral. Lineage: Eukaryota; Metazoa; Chordata; Mammalia; Primates; Hominidae.